AUAUAGAUACCCAGAGCCACAGGA
Molecule: non-coding RNA, 24 nt
Filed under: Rattus norvegicus (Norway rat)
Lineage: Eukaryota; Metazoa; Chordata; Mammalia; Rodentia; Muridae
Source: RNAcentral